This 1264-nucleotide long non-coding RNA is filed under the name Nicotiana benthamiana. RNAcentral's name for it is "long non-coding RNA (NBEN_LNC011238)". Lineage: Eukaryota; Viridiplantae; Streptophyta; Magnoliopsida; Solanales; Solanaceae. The record is from RNAcentral.
UGCGCCAGACACUGUGUGUCACAAUGGUGUGGGAGGUGAGUCCAAGAAACUCCCGAGGGAUGUCGAAACACUGUCGGAACAGUGUUCCGGGCAGUGGGGGUAAGGGGGGAGAAGGUGGGGUAGUGACACUUACCUGGUGGUUACCUGGGGGUGCCGGCGACCCGCCCGGUGGUGGUGGUGAAUUAACUAAACUGAUUCCUAAUUCAAACAUCUAAGUGGAUUGGACAGAGUGCAAACUUCAGUUUUGAAAACAAUUAAACCUCCUAAUUACCUGAAACUCAGUAUUGGGAUUUCUUAUUCGAACACAAUACAAAUGACACAAUUGGAACCAAUAGUAACAGCAAACAAUUACGGGAAUAAUCACAAAGUCUGAAUUGAACACAAAGGAAAUCAAACAUCACAGAAUCAGUUUUAAUUAACAAGAGUUUUGACUAAACCUAACUGCUCUUCUUGAAUCUUAUAGAUGCUCUGACAGUUCUAAACAUCCAUGAAUUUGGGCUAUUCAAUCCGUUAAACAAACAAGCUUAUCACAGUCCGCCUAAAGUUCUUAAUACCAAAAUCAGAACAAAUUUAUAUGGCAUAAUUUAUCUUGCGAACUACCAUUAUGCGAGUCUAAACUAUUUAUUCAGACUGAAUAAAACAAACAAAACAUUAUACCAACGAAGAACUAAAACAUGAAAUCCUAGAAAAACUGACUACUAAACAUUCAAAAAAGAAAAUGUAAAGAAAGGAGUAGAAAGAGGUGAUAAUAAAGAAAGUGAGAUAACUAAAUUAAAUCAAAAAAUUACCUCUAAAGUCUCCCACAUUGCCCCGGAUUAACUUUAAUUUUUCUUGAAUUUGUGGGCUAGAUAGUCCUUAAUUGGGUGUUCCCGAAUGAGAACACUCGACUAAGGUCAAUCUUGACCUCAAAUCUUCAUGCACUUAGUGUUUCAAAAAUUUGGGAUUUUAAGGUUCAAGUCUGAUAUAAUAUUCGAGAAAAUCCAACAAGAUUUUAGGAAAACUAGCAACGGUUAUAGGACGAGGGAGGUUGGGUGGUCAACUGGUGUAAGUUAGGGGUCAAUUGGACAGGCUAGUUCUUUUGACUGAUUUUUCGAUUGAAGAUCCGAAGACAUCGGUUGGGAUUCGAAAUGGGGAUGACAUGGUGGUUCAGGUUGUGAUUUUGGUCGGGAUCGGAGAAGGGGCCGCCGGGUUUUGAGCGGUGGGAUACGGUGCCAGGUGUUAAGGUUUCUGAGGCUGUUUGGUCUCUCUGGAGACAAAAGAGAUG